RNAcentral lists this long non-coding RNA (1377 nucleotides) under Eucalyptus grandis. RNAcentral's name for it is "long non-coding RNA (EGRA_LNC000064)". The record is from RNAcentral. Lineage: Eukaryota; Viridiplantae; Streptophyta; Magnoliopsida; Myrtales; Myrtaceae.
GAAAUGGUACAAAAUAUUAUCCACUUGAAUAGUGGUGGGAUGCGUCCGGUGGCUAGCGACCGGCAAUCUGCGGCGGCCGGUAGCUGACGACCUUGGCAGAGUCACAGUAGCAGGGGAGGACGAGGCCAUCCUUCUCGAGGGCGAGCUUGGCGGCCCUAAUGUUGCCCUCGCAGAGCAUCAGGAGCUCAGACGGGCACCAGGCAUGGUAUGACCCGCCGUCGCCCCCCUACACUUUCUUUGCGAGCGGUCGGCAGCUGGCGGGAAGAGGAGCCAAGCAAGCGAGGCUACGGAACAGAGUCGACAAGAGUGGGUGGGAGGUUUCCGUUCCGUUACCUGAAUCGUAGCGGAUGACGACGGUGACGAAGAUAUGACGUCACUUAGAGAGAGAGAGACGGCAACUUUUGCCCGAGGGAGGGAGGGUGAGUCUCGGUAUGCCUAGGGGUGUGCAAAAUACCCGGGAACCGCCCGGACCGCCCAGAACCGGACCGGAACCGCCCGGAACCGGCAGUUCUUGAGGGAACCGGUCCGGUUCCCAGUUCCAUGGGCGGAUCCGCCCACCUAGACCGGACCGGUUCCCUUUUAAUAUUAAAAAAAAAAUACUAAAAUUGAAUUCAAAGCAAUUGUUUUGUGGUAAUUGUUUUUGCUACAGGAUGAAUACAAAGCUAAAUAUUAGGGAAUUCUUAUGCUUUUUCGUUGUUUAGUUUAUUUAUUAAUAUAAUGAUGAAGGUGAUGUAUUCAAUAAAGUCUUGUUUAGUUGCACUUCUUUUGUUUUCUUGUGUUUGGAUGGUGCCUCAUUUCACCUCCUUUGAUUUGUUUGUGCGACUUGUGAUAUUUUGCCGAACCUAAUGAGGGAUAUGUCCAGUUCAUAGCUUUAAGAGAGACCCAUUUUUCCUAAACACUUACUACUCUUUGUACCUCUAUAUCAACUUACGUACAUCCAUUCCUUCAUUGGUUGCAUUUAUAGUUGCAAUAAAUGAAUUUUUGUUCUACGUACUUAAAUUUGGUUUUUCUUUUUUUGGCUUGCUUUGAUGUCACGUAGUCGUUUUAUGUUGAAAAUCAAAAUUGUUUCACGUCAAGAUCGGUUCCAUGGAUCCACCCAAGAACCGGACCGGACCGGACCGGUGGUUCGGUUCCCGGGUGGAUCCAUGCAACAAACGGGUGGAUCCCGGUUCCAAUUUUUCAGAACCGGUCCUUAGCGGGCAGUUCCCAGUUCUAGGUUGGGAACUGCCCGCCCAGACCAUGCACACCCCUAGGUAUGCCAAGGACCCACCCAACUACGUCCCCUCUUUCUCGCAGAGAGUGAGGGGGUGCAUGAUAAAUUAAAAUUUCUUUUUAGAAAUAAUUUUUCUAUUUCAAAUUUAUUUUUGAAAUAAAAAU